RNAcentral lists this ribosomal RNA (427 nucleotides) under uncultured Steroidobacter sp. RNAcentral describes it as "partial 16S ribosomal RNA". It matches the Rfam family "Bacterial small subunit ribosomal RNA", at positions 355 to 774 of the family's 1533-position model. Lineage: Bacteria; Pseudomonadati; Pseudomonadota; Gammaproteobacteria; Steroidobacterales; Steroidobacteraceae. The record is from RNAcentral.
UGGGGAAUAUUGGACAAUGGGGGAAACCCUGAUCCAGCGACGCCGCGUGGGUGAAGAAGGCCUGCGGGUUGUAAAGCCCUUUCGGUAGGGAAGAAAUCUCUUGCUCUAACAAAGCAAGGGUUUGACUUAACCUACAUAAGAAGCACCGGCUAACUCUGUGCCAGCAGCCGCGGUAAUACAGAGGGUGCGAGCGUUAAUCGGAAUUACUGGGCGUAAAGCGCACGUAGUCGGCUUGCCAAGUCGGGUGUGAAAUCCCCGGGCUCAACCUGGGAACUGCAUCCGAAACUGGCUUGCUAGAGUAUGGGAGAGGGAGGCGGAAUUUCUGGUGUAGCAGUGAAAUGCGUAGAUAUCAGAAGGAACAUCAGUGGCGAAGGCGGCCUCCUGGACCAAUACUGACGAUCAGGUGCGAAAGCGUGGGGAGCAAACA